Long non-coding RNA from Saccostrea cuccullata (small rock oyster), 419 nucleotides. RefSeq lists it as uncharacterized. The record is from RefSeq and is a predicted model, not a curated record. The transcript is spliced from 3 exons. NCBI's taxonomy places the organism in Eukaryota, Metazoa, Mollusca, Bivalvia, Ostreida, Ostreidae.
UGGAACUUGGAAUAAUGAAUAUUUCAAUAUUGAAGAUUGGGAAACUGUUAAGAGGAAAGAGUGCCAGUUUACAAAAAAAGCCUUUGAAUUUGAUGUACUGGUAAGCUGUUGGCUGAAGUAUACAUAAAUUUGAAAAAUGAAACGAGCACAUUCCGACACAGAAGAUUCUGAUUCGUCAGGUAAUUCUUCCGAUUCUCUGUCGGACCAAGAGUAUGAGCCUACACCCGGGAGCCCAAAAGGUCACAAUGAUGGAGGACUCGUCGCUUCAAAAGAACUUGAUAAUUAUUUCCGAUACUUUUUGCUUUUACAACUCGCGGUUGAUGCUGUUCGAAUAUGGUUUGAUUCUGUUAUUCCACCACAGAAAUUACAUAAACACUUACGACGAUACAGGAAAAGGUCUCUAAAGAAUUGUAGUGAUG